Molecule: long non-coding RNA, 225 nt
Filed under: Elaeis guineensis (African oil palm)
Lineage: Eukaryota; Viridiplantae; Streptophyta; Magnoliopsida; Arecales; Arecaceae
Description: long non-coding RNA (EGUI_LNC024194)
Source: RNAcentral
CAAGCUACAUGUUUUUAUUUUUUCUUGAUUUAUUCAAAAAUAAACAUGCUAAAAUAUUGAUGGGUUAAUCAUUGGAUGAUUGAUUAUAUGAUACUUUAAUUUGAUUUUGCAGUAUGGAUUCUGGAAAUAUUGAUCAUAGCAAAAAUAUUGAUGAUGAUGAAUUAGAAAUGUUGGAUGCACCUAAAAUUCCUCCUAGUCAACAAGAAGGCACAAAUAAUAAUUUUG